This 464-nucleotide ribosomal RNA is filed under the name uncultured bacterium. RNAcentral's name for it is "partial 16S ribosomal RNA". It matches the Rfam family "Bacterial small subunit ribosomal RNA", at positions 28 to 507 of the family's 1533-position model. The record is from RNAcentral.
GAUGAACGCUGACAGAAUGCUUAACACAUGCAAGUCUUUGGCGAAGCUGUGCUUGCACCGCCUAGCCAAGGCGGACGGGUGAGUAACGCGUAAGGAACUUGCCCUGCAGUCAGGGAUAACAGACGGAAACGACUGAUAAGACCUGGUAAAGUCAGGCGGACUCAUGUCCAGCCUGAUGAAAAGAGAUGCUGCAGGAGAGCCUUGCGUCCUAUUAGCUUGUUGGUGGGGUAACGGCCCACCAAGGCGAUGAUAGGUAGCCGGCCUGAGAGGGUGGACGGCCACAAGGGGACUGAGAUACGGCCCUUACGCCUACGGGAGGCAGCAGGGGGGAAUAUUGGACAAGGGGGGGCAACCCUGAUCCAGCAAUUCUGUGUGCACGAUGAAGGUUUUCGGAGUGUAAAGUGCUUUCAGCAGGGAAGAAAAAAAUGACGGUACCUGCAGAAGAAGCGACGGCUAAAUACGUG